UNCAGUUUACAUUCAUUAUGACCUUAUACC
This 30-nucleotide non-coding RNA is filed under the name Mus musculus (house mouse). Lineage: Eukaryota; Metazoa; Chordata; Mammalia; Rodentia; Muridae. The record is from RNAcentral.